Sinocyclocheilus anshuiensis is the source of this 560-nucleotide long non-coding RNA. RefSeq lists it as uncharacterized. The transcript has 3 exons. The record is from RefSeq and is a predicted model, not a curated record. Lineage: Eukaryota; Metazoa; Chordata; Actinopteri; Cypriniformes; Cyprinidae.
CAGUUGGACAGCAAAGGAUCGUGGGAAUGAAGAGUUUGAUGACUUCAUGCACGAGAGCAGCAAAAUCUGCAGGCCACAAACAUGACAAACUGUCUUUGAGCACAUCCUGAACAGGAUAUGUGGAGAUGCUGUGGACGAUCAACAUGAUCUUCAUCCUCAGCAUCCAGCUCAAAAAACCUCCAUUCUUAUAUGAACCACCCAUCAUCACAUUUACCAUGGGUUUGUCUGAUCAUGAACAGUGUGAAUCCCUCCAUGUGCGGAUCAUAAUGUGUGCUGAGAGCUGAAUAUGGGUCAGAAAUCUGCCAGCGGUUCACAGCGCAGGUGAAGCUGAGGUCACGGGUGAUUAUGGGACAUUUGGAGGCUUACAUUCAAAGCGCUUGUUCAAAUCCACACAAAUCACUCACAAGCUCCUCUGAAUAUCAGACAUACAGAUGUAAUCAACUCCUGCGCUGCUCUUCAUUCUUAAAGGGACAGCGCACACAACAAUGGCCAGGAUGCUUUCCAUUGACAACAUAAAUAUGUUGAUUAAAAUUAUACGUGAUUCUUAGUAGUUUUGUUUG